RNAcentral lists this ribosomal RNA (255 nucleotides) under uncultured bacterium. Its description in RNAcentral is "partial 16S ribosomal RNA". It matches the Rfam family "Bacterial small subunit ribosomal RNA", at positions 524 to 776 of the family's 1533-position model. The record is from RNAcentral.
UACGUAGGGUGCAAGCGUUAAUCGGAAUUACUGGGCGUAAAGCGUGCGCAGGCGGUUAUGUAAGACAGUUGUGAAAUCCCCGGGCUCAACCUGGGAACUGCAUCUGUGACUGCAUAGCUAGAGUACGGUAGAGGGGGAUGGAAUUCCGCGUGUAGCAGUGAAAUGCGUAGAUAUGCGGAGGAACACCCGAUGGCGAAGGCAGCCCCCUGGGUCAAGAUUGACGCUCGAUGCACGAAAGCGUGGGGAGCAAACAGG